This 209-nucleotide unclassified non-coding RNA is filed under the name uncultured fungus. Its description in RNAcentral is "sequence contains ITS1, 5.8S rRNA gene". The record is from RNAcentral. Lineage: Eukaryota; Fungi.
UUAACUAUUAUAUAGUACUCAGACAGUAUAGACAAACAGAGUUUGGGUCCUCUGGCAGGCGCUCGCCGGCCGGAGCCAGCAGCCCGGAGGCAGGCCUGCCAAAGCAACAAAGUGUGAUAAACAAAGGGUGGAAGGUGUGCCCGGUGGCCAUAUCUCAGGCUCCUAGGUUGCUUCAUUUAAUGAUCCUUCCGCAGGUUCACCUACGGAAA